Long non-coding RNA from Eptesicus fuscus (big brown bat), 1037 nucleotides. RefSeq lists it as uncharacterized. The transcript has 5 exons. The record is from RefSeq and is a predicted model, not a curated record. Lineage: Eukaryota; Metazoa; Chordata; Mammalia; Chiroptera; Vespertilionidae.
UAUCAUUUCAAGCAUUGCGGAAGCUACCUCUGUGUCCUUUAGGUGAGAAAGCCUGUGGGGACCCUACAGUUACGUGGGAUAAAGGAAGACAAGGAAGAGAAAGUUCACUCACAGGCUGAAAGAAGAAAAAGAAUAACCUAAAAUAGCCCCACCGAUGGAUUGCAUCAAGAACUCCCUCACCUGCCGCAGGACUAACUUGCAUCUUCAGGUGGAGCCCAUAGGAUUUGCAUAUGGAAAAGGAAUGUAGAUUACCAUUAUGUGUUUGAAGCUGAGGAGAAGAAGCCAUUGGAAAUACAAACAGUAAAGAUGCUAGCAGAGCAGUGAAAACCAGAGAAUUAAAAGUCUGAAACCGAGAACAUCAGUGGAUGUGUUUGUCCUGGCGAGGGAUGGGAGUCCUUGUCCUCCUGCACCGAGCAGAGGAGGCAUUGUGAAGUUAGAAACAAGAUCACCGGCCAGGUUUGGGAGAAAGGAGACGAAAGAGCCCGGAGAAGGUGUGAGUCAUCUGUUGAGAAGUUGUCUAGUGAAUCAACAAAAGAUGCUGUUUUCUAUAAAGUCCUCCAUUUUAUAAAAGAAAAAUUGCAACUGUUGCUGUAUAUAGUGGAUUUGUGGAGGAUUUAGUGGUUGAACACUGACCACUACCCCACCCUUUCUGUUGCUGAAGACAAGGCUAAAAUAAAAAGGGCUAUGUUUUACUCUAUUAAAGGUAAUUUAUGCUAAUUAUUAAAGUCACAGAUUAUUCCACAGACAGUAUCAUCUGGGAACAAUUGCAAGUCUAUAUUAAAAUAUGUCCCCAAAAAUGCAGCCUUAAUUUUAUUUAAGAAGGCUCUUUGAAUAUUGUCAAAGUUCUACUCAUCCAAGGAUUUAAACAAAACCCAACACUUUCACUUACUAUACCAUAUGAAACAAGAAUUGGUAGAAAUUGCCCAUCUCAGAACCCAACCACCAACUUGUUAGGAGCUGAUAUCUUUGCAAUUUUGUUUUCAUUGCAUUUACAUGGAGUAUAAUAUUAUUACACACCUUCUUAAUGUUACUCUUUG